RNAcentral lists this ribosomal RNA (274 nucleotides) under uncultured bacterium. Its description in RNAcentral is "partial 16S ribosomal RNA". It matches the Rfam family "Bacterial small subunit ribosomal RNA", at positions 523 to 796 of the family's 1533-position model. The record is from RNAcentral.
CUACGAAGGGGGCUAGCGUUGUUCGGAAUUACUGGGCGUAAAGCGCGUGUAGGCGGAUCGUUAAGUCAGGGGUGAAAGCCCGGGGCUCAACCCCGGAACUGCCCUUGAUACUGGCGAUCUAGAGUCCGGAAGAGGUGGGCGGAAUUCCCGGUGUAGAGGUGAAAUUCGUAGAUAUCGGGAGGAACACCAGUGGCGAAGGCGGCUCACUGGUCCGGUACUGACGCUGAGACGCGAAAGCGUGGGGAGCAAACAGGAUUAGAAACCCCGGUAGUCC